UACAGAGGUCCCGAGCGUUGUUCGGAUUCAUUGGGCGUAAAGGGUGCGUAGGCGGCGGGGCAAGUCUGAUGUGAAAUCCCGGGGCUCAACCCUGGAACUGCAUUGGAUACUGCCUUGCUAGAGUACUGGAGAGGAGACUGGAAUUCAUGGUGUAGCAGUGAAAUGCGUAGAGAUCAUGAGGAAGACCAGUGGCGAAGGCGGGUCUCUGGACAGUUCCUGACACUGAGACACGAAGGCCAGGGGAGCAAACGGG
Molecule: ribosomal RNA, 253 nt
Filed under: uncultured bacterium
Lineage: Bacteria
Description: partial 16S ribosomal RNA
Rfam family: Bacterial small subunit ribosomal RNA
Source: RNAcentral